Molecule: transfer RNA, 73 nt
Filed under: Cnemaspis omari
Lineage: Eukaryota; Metazoa; Chordata; Lepidosauria; Squamata; Gekkonidae
Description: tRNA-Asn
Source: RNAcentral
UAUGCUGAAGUCCGCUGGAUUGGGCGCUUAUUUGUGAAUUACUGUUUUACGGGGCCCAGGCCCCUCAGUCUAG